Molecule: long non-coding RNA, 1262 nt
Organism: Drosophila willistoni
Lineage: Eukaryota; Metazoa; Arthropoda; Insecta; Diptera; Drosophilidae
Exons: 5
Source: RefSeq, a predicted model, not a curated record
UUCUUGUGCUUUUUUCUUAUUUGUGCUCUUUUUCUCUUUUUUUCAGAUUUGGCUUCCAGCGCCUCACAUGAGAGUCUCGCCUGGAGAGAGGUAGCUGGCAGCGGGAGGCAUCAUCAGGAUGGAAUGUCCAUAUUGUCUGCUUUCUCGACAAGUCUGGAGCGGGAGGGCCAGAUCCCUUAAACCGAUGGGUGAAGAUUGUACUGAAAGGAAUUGGCUGAAACUUACGCGCUAUGGUCGAUCUCGCGCAAGAGCUCUUUUUCCAAAGUUGGUCAUCCGAAUAAACGCCAGUUUCGCCCGGCUUGAGCGGGGGCAAGAUUAGCCGCUGAAUCUGUAUAGGCUGAUCCUUUAUACGCUCUUCAAUGUACGCUCUAUUGCGUAUUUUGUUUUUGAAGUCGCAGAAUAGUCUAUUAAUCACGUGCCUUUCUAGGCGCUCAACAGGUGGCAAUCAUGGUGGCAUCAAUCAGCUUAUGAGGGAGGGGGCGCUACUAAAGUAGGCUAUAGCCUCCUGCUGUUUUUUUAGCUUUGGAGGAAUUUCUGCUUGUGCUUGUGGAGCGUGCUGUCCAGCUGUUUGUUGCUGCUGCUGCGUCGCUAAAUGCUGCUGUUGGGUUGCAGCAUUUGGAGGAGCUGGAGUUGGUGACUGCUGCUGCUAGAGGCUAAUAUCCGUUGCAUGUUGCUGUUGAUUGGGUUGAUGAGUGCUCCAGGAAUGUGAUGGGUCUUGCAAACGGUGAGAUGGACUGGAAGCCCAUGCUGGAGUCACUUGUAAGGGAGAAGAGAGUCUGGUCUUCGUCCACUGGAUGGAGCCUGUCGGGCUGCCUGAAUUUUGAGCGGCCAGCUUGAAGUCGGUUGCCUCAUCAGUUUGUUUGUAAUCUUCCACAGCUUUUGCCGUAACGAUCGCUUGAGUGGAGUUCGAUUUUGGAUGCCAGUGAAGCAACACGUAUCACUUGGUUCCUGGGUCUUAAAAGUGCACUUAAUUAUUGUUUUGACAACCCCCGUUAAUAUUCUUUUCUGCAAGUGAAUAUAAACAUAAAUCACAGACUGCAGAAGGUGUCGAUUAAUACAAUGCAUGAGCUUUGUUCUCCAAAUAAUAAUAAUUAUAAUGAAAAUAAACGAGAAGAAGUAAAGAGAAAACGAAAACGAUCAGCCCACCACAAUGGCAAAGAAUCACAAAAACAACUAUUACGCUAUUUUGGACACUGCAGACGAAGAGUGCGACGAAAGUGUAAUACAAAAAUUCAAAAAUCAAGUGUUUGUGAACAAGCUUA